Transfer RNA from Nosema bombycis CQ1, 72 nucleotides. It matches the Rfam family "tRNA". From Rfam's summary of the family: Transfer RNA (tRNA) molecules are approximately 80 nucleotides in length. Their secondary structure includes four short double-helical elements and three loops (D, anti-codon, and T loops). Further hydrogen bonds mediate the characteristic L-shaped molecular structure. tRNAs have two regions of fundamental functional importance: the anti-codon, which is responsible for specific mRNA codon recognition, and the 3' end, to which the tRNAs corresponding amino acid is attached (by aminoacyl-tRNA synthetases). tRNAs cope with the degeneracy of the genetic code in two manners: having more than one tRNA (with a specific anti-codon) for a particular amino acid; and 'wobble' base-pairing, i.e. permitting non-standard base-pairing at the 3rd anti-codon position. Lineage: Eukaryota; Fungi; Microsporidia; Nosematidae. The record is from Rfam.
UCCUUGUUAGUCCAGUGGUUAGGAUGUCUGUCUUUCACACAGGAGGCAGGGGUUCGAUUCCCCUACGAGGAA